RNAcentral lists this long non-coding RNA (15180 nucleotides) under Taeniopygia guttata (zebra finch). RNAcentral's name for it is "lncRNA (ENSTGUG00000025082.1)". Lineage: Eukaryota; Metazoa; Chordata; Aves; Passeriformes; Estrildidae. The record is from RNAcentral.
AAGCUCCAGUAGCUUACUAGCACCACAUCCAACAUUUCAACUAGAAAUAUAAGUUUUAGGAAACUAUCCCUAUCAUUUCAGUGGAAAAAAAAAAAAAAAACCAAAAAAAACCCAACUGCUUUCUGUGUAAGACAGUAAUUCCUGCAGUCUUUAAAGACAAUUUUUACAAGUGCUGAACUUGCAGCCCUGAGAGUGAGUGCAAAGAUAUAGUGCACUUCUGUGCACUUACAAUAGAAAACAGUUCAAAUGCAGAGUCAUUCUGCAUGCUCAUGAUGGUCAGUUUGAAUUGUGUGAAUAUUCGAGAGCUCAGCAGAACAGAGUGGCAAGACAAGCAGGGACUUGUGUGUACUGUGUGACUGACUCAUCUUUGCUGCAGCUGAUAAUAAAAAAUUACAUGCCCAGAUCGACUUUCUUCUGCUAAUAAUAAAGGAAACCCCAUGCAAGUGCAUUGACUUCCAGAACCCAGAUCCUACUGCUUGCAUAGCCUUUUCCCCAAAAGCCUUCAAGCUUUUAAAACAAGCUUUCCAACUUUCCUGGGGCAGUUUUUAUGCAGAAAGAGCCUGGAGAUUUGUCUGGGAUGUAAAGCUCUAGUGCAAAAUUUGGCCAGCUCACACUGGCCAAAUCAUGUCCUACCACCUAGUAGAAAACAUGAUAUAAGAUGACCUUGAAGCAAGGAGGUGGAAGAGAUAGAAACUAAUUUGUAUAUUAUUUUUUUUUAAUCUUAGUGGAUUUUAAACUUCUACUUUGUAUUUUUAAGUGGUUUUCUAAGUAUGUUUUCCUUAUUUACAACAGAGAUGAAGAAGACAGCUGUUCCAGAUUUUAAAAUGAAAGCUGUACUCAGUCUUUUCCUUGCUUGAGGGAGGUGGGGAUUCCUUCCAGCAGGACAGAAGUUUUAUAAUGAGAUCAUAGAAGAUAACCCCAACAUUGUCAGGAGUACUGCCUGUAUUUCUUCCCUCAGUUUUGCAUUUCCUUACCAAUACAUUUAAAGCUAAUAUAUUUUGAUUCUAAUCCUAAUUGUUUGAUUCAUUUAAAAGUGGUCAUUCCAGCUAGAAACAACAACAAAAAAAAUUUAAAUAGGCACAUAUCCUUCAUAUGAAGAAUUCUUUUUCUAGGCAGUCAAGAUGAGGUUGGAAUCUGUAAUGCCAAACACCAGGUUCAAUUCCUUUAAAAAUAUUCUUUGCAGUAGAAUUUGGUUUUAUAAAGCUUAAAUAACACGAGUUAGCUAGCAUCAUACAAAUCGAAUCCACCUGGAGCAUGCAAACCAAAGCUGAAGUACAAAACAAAGUACAGGCUGCUUAAAAUAUCAAGCAAAACCGAUGUCACACACUAAUUCCAAAGAGGGGAGAGGAGGGGGAAAGUCAAAUUUAAUUGUGAAAUUAGAAACACUAUCUUAUUUAAAGCCUUUUAGAGACCAUCAUACAUUAGAAUGUUUACAGAAACCUUCCUCACUCAGGUUCAUUGAAGGGCUCAGGAUGUCCCCUGAAAUGUUAAGAGAAGCAGAGCAGAAUAUUCCUGGUACAUUUUCAUAGUUUAAAGACCUGCUAGUUGAAAACUGGCAGUGGAGUAUAAGUGACUUUUAAAAAGUCAAAUUCUGUCACAUUGGAAAAGUAAUUCAAGAAAGAGCUCAAGAAGCAGGGGUACUUGGCUCACUCAGAUCUAAUCCAGGGGAGAAGACAGCAGUAGCAGCAAGAAACUGUGAUUCCCUUUAAGAGCAACUUCACAUAUAUUGGUUCCAUCAGCCUUAGGAAAAAUGGAAAGGGAAACUGUUACAAAUUCUGAGGUGGUGGUGACAGCUAAGGUUCCCUUCCAUGCUGUCCUAGGUUGUAAAAUGUGUGUAUUCUAUUUGCCAUCUGUUAGAGGUGGGGCAGUUACCUUCUGUUAAUUGAGCAGUUUUCUUUAUCUCUUCCAUAACCAAUCUUCCCUCAGGGAAAUAUCUUCUGUUAAUGGGCCACUGAGUGUCAUUGCAUGACUGAUAAAAAUUACAUCAUCCCAUUUGGGAGAUGCUCUACCCAGGGGGAGGAGCCAAGCAUUCCUACCUGGAUAUAAUUGGAGAUGUGGAAAACCACAGGCAGCCUUUUCCCACUGGAUUCCCAGAGAAAGACCAGGCCCAUCUACACCACCACUGGACCUCCAGAGGAAAACUCCACCUUUCUACAGGAUCACUGCUUCAACAGAACCACACCUGUCACUGCAGGAGCACUGCAGCCACCAUUUCAACUGGACUGCUACCAACACCCUGACCCACAGGGUGUCAGGUUGUAAUCUGACUCUGUCAGUGGUUUUCUCAUACUGUUGCAUUUGUAUUUUAAAUUUCCUAGCAAGGAACUGUUAUUCCUAUUCCCAUAUCUUUGCCUGAGAGCCCCCUUAAUUUCAAAAUGAUAAUAAUUUGGAGGGAGGGGGUUUACCUUUUCUAUUUCAAGGAAGGCUCCUGCCUUCCUUAGCAGACACCUGUCCUUUCAAACCAAGACACAUUCUUUCGCCAGAAGCCACCUGUAACCCCAAGCAUGGCUGGCUUGGGUUCCACACCUUCACCCUCUGUUCAUAGGAGCUCAAACAACAUCAGGAACAGGGGAACCACAUAGGAACAGGGGGAAAUAAUAAUCACUGAGCCAGUUUGGGACAAAACAGGCAAAGCUGUGCAGCUGUUCCUGUAACAUGACCAAGUACUUCAGGUGCCAUUGUUUAGAAAGAUCCAGGGAGUUCAGCAUGGAGGGCUUGCAGAUGUACACCAAGAACAUCCCAUCACCAGAAUGUCACUCAGGACCAUCUGAAAUGUUCUCUCUCUCCUCUCUGGCAUUUUAUUCCGUGAACAUUUAGGAUUCCAACCAGCUACAGCAAGUUACUCAACCUACUGCUUGGAAAGGAAAAACACUUUACACCUAAACAUUGGACUUAAAAAGGGAAAAAAGGUAUCAGGUGGUUGACCUAAUUCCUCUCUACAGUACUGUGAAAUCAGCAUUUGAGCUCCACACAGGAAAAAAUAAACUUUUCAGUUCUAAACAGAGUCAAGGAAAGAACAAUUACUUAGAAAAUCACUGAUUAUUUUUCAGUCUGAUUGUUCCUAUCCUUGAAUGCACAGGAUAGGAACUAGUGGCUGGCAACUGAUGAAUUCUUUGUGGAACCACCCUGGCCUGAUCGUGCUGUUACUCGGACACAACCUGAAGGAGGCCUCAACCUCAGCAUUCCCUCACUCAAGCCCAUGGGCAUCAGGAGUUUGGCAUUCCAGCUAUUCUUUAGGAUGAACACAAAUCAAAGGCUCAGAGCCCAAGAUCUUUGGGAAAAUGAUGAACAAAGGAAAGCUGGGAUUUCUAAUAAACCUGCCGCUACACAAAUAUGACAUAUUUUCCUUCCUGCAAUCCAGAUAAAAAUCCAUGAGGUCCAGUUGAGAGCCUAAACCAUGGCAUUAUGAAGACCAUUAUUAAGAAUAAAAAUUUUCAUCACUCCACACAGAAAGAGAAACAUGUUCAAUCAACCAAGUACAUCACAGGUUGUUUGUGCCUGAUGUAGGUCACUAGUUCCCAAGAAAAGCCUCAUUAGUUCAUACUAAUGACCAGAAGAUUCCCUCAAAGAUAAUUUAUUUUACUAUUGAUAAAAAAAAAGAUUCAGAGAUGCCUAUAAUGGUCAUAACAGUGCACGUCACAUUAAUCCAGAAUAGUUUAUAAUACCUCAUAAAAUUUAAAGAAUAUUGUUUUAUAUUCUGUAGCACAGAAUUGUAGCAAUGAGAAGCAACUCACAUUGUUUGUUUGUUGUAAACAUGGAACAAUCUUUAGAUACUGAUUGGAAUGGAUCACAAGGAAAGCUAGCACAAGUUAAUAUAAACUCUCUGUAUGAAAAACACCCUAAUAAUGUGAUGUAUUAAAUCACAGGAGUUCUAAAAAACCUUCUAAUUAAGACAUUUUGUUUAACAUUCCUCACACAAAGUAAUGCUCCAAGUUUUAUCCACUUACAUAGUUUUUAAAGGAGCAAAGUUGUUGUUUGAAAAGGAUGUUUUUCUCUGCUAUGGGAAACAUUGCCCAAAAAUUAACUCCAAAAUCCCCAUCAUUCCCAUUCUGGUUUGAACUGCCACCAAAGGAAAACAGUAAAGGGUGACUGUUGCCAUCUUUUCUCUAAAGUAGAAGACUAACAGCAUUCCUAUGGUUGUUGUACUUCCAGGAAAAUUUCAAACACAGGUAACACUAUGUACAGUACAUUAAAUGCUAACAGAUUUUGUUGUACAAAGUGAGUUGUUGCUUUCCAAUUUAAAUACAUACAGUUAUUUUAAGGGUUUUUAGUCUUGACAAUGAGCUAUUAAUACUAGGAAAAGCUGUACCUCUAUUUUCUCAUUAAUAGUGACAUUCAUUUAGGCAUUUUUAUUCACUGUAUGUCCUUCAAAUAUUUUUGAGAAACUACUUGCCCCCUUGUUCUAGAAUAGACAAAUAGAAAGACAGUUACUUUAGGCAGUUCUCCCCCACUUAUUUGUUUGCACUCAGCUGGGAACUUCCAGGGUUUUCUCAAUUUUACCAAAAUCUUCCUUCCCAGCCCAGUGCAUGCUGUAAAAUUCUUUUUGGCUAAGCUGAUCAAAACUGAAUAGACUCUCCAUCUACCAGCUGGGGUCUUCAGACACUCACAAUUUUUACAGAAUUUUUUUUCUAAAUAUUGGUCACUUUCUUCCAACAGAGGUUUUACAGUUAUGCUAUGAUGACUCAUCUAAAACUUCGAUUUCUGAAGGAAAAACAGGAAGAAGAAGAAGAAGAAGAGAAUAGUGGCCAGUGUAUGGCAGCCAGAGAGAUAUAAGAUAAGUGCAGCAGUCCAAGAGACAGGUAAAAGAAAGUGAUAAAUGUGAAACAGAAAUACCCAACAGAAGAUCCAGAUACAGAUACUUCCCCCAUAGGAUAAUAUUUACACAAUUCAACUUCUUAGGGCCUAAUCUAGCUAGAUCAGUCUAUCAUAAUCAGUAAAGAGAAAAAAGUCCUUAUUCCUCCAUCUCACACAAACAGAUGCCUACAAUGAUGCAUCUGUUCUACUGAGCAAUGUAAUUCUGAAAGCCUCUGAAUAAGUAUGAGCAAUUGCAAAUCACUCUGAGGACUCUUCAGUAAUUUUCUAAGUACUAACAAUGUCAGCACACCCAUAAUUUGGUAACAUAGCAAGCCAAGCCACUGUGCACUGAUUAUAUCAGGUGCUUUUGUCUGCUUGGCAUCACUGUAUGAUGGGGUCAGCAAAAGUCCUGUCCCAAAAGCAGCAGCUCCUGUCCAGAGCAGCCUCCAUUUGUUUCUCUAGGCUGCAGACAACUGCCAUUGCUGUGCAUUUGAAGCUUAGCAUGGAAAACACUGGCAAAUUCACACACUAAUCCUCUCUAAACCCAGUCACUCAGUCAAAUGGCCUUGGAAAUAACAAACAGAGAAGAGACCAUGCCCUUCAAUACUUUAAAGAUUAAAAAAAAAGCCUAUGCUAGAGAAGUCAAGAAGAAGUCUGGAAAAGCACAGUCUGGGGCUAAUUGCUUCUGUUAUUUCAGUAGAUAAUGCCAAAACCUCAAGUCUCAAUACUAGAGUUGGAGAAGAAUUUAUGGUGGCAACCCAAACACCAGAAGUCACAGAUGCAACAACCUUGCCUAAUCCAAACAGCAGUUUGCCAAUCGGUAAAUUUUACAGCAUUUGGUUUGUCUGAAGAAAAACUUAAUUUAUGGUCCCAGACAUAGAGUACACUAGAAGGAGAACAUGACUUUAACCAGCAUUAGGCAGUAACCAAGAGUGACAGCUCAAGCAAUAAAAAGGUAGAGAAAAUUAUAAUUUAGAGGAAGUUAAAACCUUGGGAACAGAGUAACACAGUUUAGUACUUAUUUUGGUAACAGUAUUUUACAGAAUUAUAGAUUGGAAUUCUGGAUUGCAAAUUGCUUAACUUGAGGCAAGGAGAACAUUCCAGGCAGGUACAAUUGCUAACUGCCUGAAAUGGAAAUUACCCUGAUUAAGUAUUAAGCAUCCACCUCCAAGGCUGGGUUGGUUUUUUGUUUGUUUGUUUGUUAUCUGUUUUGCUUUGGGUGGGGGGUUUUUGCACAUCCAUGUACAAUGAUACAUUUACAUUAUCUGUAUACAAGAGCUGGAGACAAGUAUUCCUUCACAGCUCAAACUGCCAAACAUUAGAGAAAGCUUAAUAGAUUAAAAGAAGCAAUGGCAUUUGAAAAAGCAGAGGUUCACUGGUAACAAUAAAAAUACUUACACCUUCAUCUGCAGAAGUAAUACCAAGUUGCCAACAAAACUAGUUAAAUUACUUAAAUACAUACUUUUUUCCAAAGUUCUGAAAGAAAAAUCCUUCUCUACCUCAAUAAAAGUGGAGCUAUGCUAUUUUUUUAUUCUAAAUGGAGAUAACAUGAAUGAUAAAGAUGAUUAAAUGCAAAACUGAAAGUUAUAUCCAGAAGGAUUUUAAUUAGAUUUUUUUUAAACACAAUAGCUGUUGGCUGCAAGUAGACAAUGAACUAAGUGGUACAGAGAAAGCAGAGAAGUUUUGAAACAAACUCCCAUCUUCUUGUAAGCAUGGUGGCAAUAGAAACUAAUUCUUACAUAGCUUAAAGGAAAGGGAUGCUGGUUCAGGCCUGUGUGUCAGAGCAGAUGCUGCUGAUGGCCUUCCUUCCCACAGUCAGGAACUCCUGGGAAGAACUGCUCGGGGGCCCUGCUCUUCUUCUGCAGGCAGGACCAGGACGGGGAGCAGGGAGUGCUAAGGUGACCUGGAGCACAAGCCUGUACAGCUUUCCAGGCCAGGACUUGGGUUACACUGAGUGUAACCUCAUGUGAACCAUGGGGGGGUCCCCAGAGUUCAUCACCCUGGUCACACCUGUCAGCAGCAGUUGUUCACAGCAAUCUGCACUGGGGACCAGUGGCACAGGACAGCUACUCUCAGGAGCAAGGUAUAGCAGCCCAGGAACACCCAAGAGAUCAGGCAAGAACACUCCUUUGCUUCAAUUUGUCAACAAUUUUACAUCCCAAAGGUUUUUUUCUGCUAGCUUUACCACCCAGCCAAGAAUAACCACAGCAACAAGGUUUGGUAGGGAGCACCUGGGAUGACCCUCAGGCUCCCUUACAACUUCCAGCAUAUAACAAAAUAAGAGAAAUAACAGAAGUCUGGUUCUAGUGCUGUUUCCUCAGUAACUAUGCUGCCAGAGAUACUAGAUCUUAAAAGUCAGUAAUUUCCAAAGAGCUGCUCCACUUCAGAAAACACCAGCAGGAACUAACAAUUACAAGCCAUUAUUUCUUCUUAUCAAAUAGUGAUCACUAAGUACAUGAUGUCAAUAUGUCCAGAAUGAAAUCCUCACACUUAAUCACAGAAUCAUCACAGAGCGAUUUGGGUUGGAAGGGACCUUAAAGACCAUCUAGUUUGAACCAUCUGCCAAGGGCAGGGACACAUUCCACUAAAGCAUGUUCUUCAAAGCCCCAUGCAACCUGGCCUUGAACACCUCCAAGAAUGGGGCAUCCACAGCUGCUCUGGGAAACUGUUCCCGUGCCUCACCACCCUCACAAGACUUUAUUCCUAAUAUCUAAUAAAUUUAUGCACCAUGUUUCUCAGGGAAGAUCCUAGCUUCCCUUUCUCAGGGAAGAGCCUCUUCAAUAACAUGGCAGAAAUACCAUACAGAAGAUCCUACCUUAUCCAACAAUUACCAGUUAUUUGUAGAUAAGCAUUGUGAAAGGAAUACACAACCACUUCCAGACACAAGCAAGUGCUUAUGAAAUUAAACAGAAAUUUUGCAAUUGCUCGGUAGAGCAAGAAAUGCUGCAAUACAUUUUUAAACUUAUCUCCUAAUGGCUCUAAUUCACCAAAUUUAACAUAAAACAGACAACUUCCUUUCUAAAUGAAGUGGUCUACAUAUUCCAUAGAAAUUGAAAUUUUUAGGGCUCUAGAUAUUUUAACUACUACCUUAUAAAUAUUUCUAUAUGCAAGCAGUAAUAAUCACACACAAGCUACUUACUUCUACUUUCUAUAAACUGUAUUACAGCAGAUCAGACUCUAAGUAUUGUUUUAAAAUGUUAUUUGUAAUAGAUUGUUUCAGAGACAAGCACAGGAACUAUUCACAUUUGAAUUAAAAUUGCAUUCAUACCUAGACCUUUAAUAAAACUCAGCAGUUAGAAGUGCUGCACUAUUUCUCGAGUUUAUUUGUUAAAAAGGCAAUUAAGAUGCACCCAUUCCUCACUGGAGUCACCAAGGAAAAAAUUGGAAAUCAUUCAGAAAAAUCAUUCAGAAUCUGCUAACGCCUUUGAUGGUACUAUGAUAAACGCCCAUAGAUUAGCAGCCAAAAUACUUUUAAUCUCAGUUUGAUCUGUGUUUUAGAAAUAUCCUCUCAAGACCAGUGGUAACAAGAAAUUUUUUUUAAAUACUUAAAAAUCUGAAAAAUUAAAUUAUAAUCCUGUAUCUUGUGCAUUUUAUGGAUAGUUUUGCAUUUAUACUAUUGCAAUUGUUUUUAAAGCACAAUAAACCAAAAUAUUUCAAACACCAACAGCUCAAAAUACUGAAUGCUUUGCCACUUACCAAUUUCAGUGUUUAACAACAAUUCAAUGUUUUAUUGUGUUGUGAAAAUGUAAUCUAAUAUAUCCUUAGAAUUGAAAACAUGGCAGCAUUUUCUUUGCUAUGCAAGAUCCUGUUUAAGUUACAUUGAUAGAACAAAUUUAAUUAUUCAGUGUGAAUAUCUUUGGAAUGGCUAGUGAACUAGAGUGUUUAGAUUCCUUAACAAACCGUUGAGAACUAGAUCACUAAAAAACUGUUUAACUGAUCACAUUAUAAGCUCAACUUAAUAAAUAGGUUGGGGUAGUAAAAUAAACAUUUGACUCUACUUCUUUUAGACAGUAACUCUGGUGCCAGAGGUGGAAUGCUUUCAGAGACCCUGAUUUAAUAAACUUGAUUACCUCAGGCUCAUGAUAUGUCAAUGUUAAUGCCUGAAUUAGUUUUCACUGCAGGGCAAACCCCAUUAGGAACACUGAUGCUUGUUCUUAAUGUUCUGUAAGAGGCAGAGCUUUAGAACCCACAAGACACACACACUCAAAAACUACAUUCAUAAGUUAACCUUGAACUGCAGCAGCUUCUGAAUUAGCAGCAAGUUCCAAAUUAGCAGCAGCUUCUGAAUUAGCAGCAGCUUCCUGCUGUUCUUCCUCCAUAGCAUGGGAUACUUCUGGAGGCAGUAAGUCAUUCUCCCCUCCAGCUUCUGGAGAUACCCCAGAAGUCUCAUCCUGUACUCUGGGUCCAGCACUCUCAUCCUGUGCUGCAGGUCCAACAGCAGCUGCUGCAUCAGCUUUUUCCGUGGCCUUCUCUGCUUCAGUGACUUCAUGCACCUCUUCUCCAUCACCUUCUAAGAAUUUAUUCAAUACAAUAAAGAGAGUAAAAUGCAUGCAUGCAACAAAAAAUUCACCAACUACUUUUUAUCAUCAUCCUCAUUUAAAUUUGAAGUGGAAAGCUAAGACUUGGGAUCAGAAUUAACAAAAAGAUCAAUAAUUAAUCCCUCAUAUUGUCUGAUUUGGCAUCAAAAAACUAUGUUUAUAAGAUGAGGAAACCAUAUUCUUAAUUACUGAGUUUCAUAACAUGUUUCAGUGUGAUACGAAAAGAAACUGUGGCUUAAAGCAAUUGUUGGGGGAGCAGGGAAGGAUAACAAAGGACAUUGUCAAGUGUUGCUUGAAACCACUCUGCAGAAAGGGCCAGUGAUGGUACACACACAGGUGCCAGAGGGAGCAUGACACUGUGGAAUAACCACGUGGGGAAGAAGACAUUUGGUUUUAUACAAGUGAGAAAAUAACUUCCUAAUUUCAAGUGGUCAGAGCUCUCUUUCUUAGAUAUAUGACCACUUAGAACUGACUAUUUUCUUUUUACAACUCACAACUAUCUUUUAAAGACUUGUUUACACCACUUUGGGUCCAACUCUUUAGAACCUGAAAAACAAUGUUUCCCAGCCAUGCAUGACUUCAAAUUCAGCUGAGACAAGUCAUGAAAAACUAACAGCACAAAGCAAGAUAGAUGCUCAACCACCAUGCAAACAUGCGCUAACAUUAUGUUCACGAAGGAAAAGUUAUACUGUUCAUCAACAGUAUAACUGUUCAUCAGCUGUUCGUCACAAGUUCACCACUAGAACCGACUCACCACGUAAAAAAAAACAGAAAUAAGUUUGUAACACAGUGUAAGCUAUGUGAGAAUUGAAACAAAAGAUCUUAAAGAGACACAGUCAGAGUUUGUUUGAGUCUUUUGUAUCUGUUUAAAAACCAAACAGAUCGAUUUUAUUUCUUGAUCUUCUUAUGCCAGUGAAAGCCUAUAAUUUUGGUUCAGGUUUCAAGACAAGCCCAUUCAUUGCUCAGUAAAAAUCAAAACUUUGCAUUAUGAAACCUGAUCAUGUCCCUUUAAGAAAACACUGUUUUAAAAAAAAUCGUUAACUCAUUACAUAAAGAACAGGUUAACAGCCAAGAUCAGCAUUCAGUACACUUUAUUGGACAGUCAAAUAUAGAGUGCAUUAAUUCAGAACAGCCAGCUUCUCCAUCUCAGAACUGCCUUCUACAAAGCAGAUUCAGUAAUAAGCUCAAUAUGGUUUGGCCUUGCAAACAUAGAUAGUUCUUUUAAAGUCUCACACAAUUGGGGCUUUACAAUAGAAGGCACAAAGUCAUCCCAAGGUAGGCUGCAAUGUACUUAAUGGUAAACGAUUGUCCUUUGUUUGUAUUUAACUUCCUCAGGUUUGGAAAGAGAUUUCCCUUGUGUCUGGAAAGUGUAAAAGCAGAACAUAGAUUAGAAAGUCUGGAAAGUGUAAAAGCAGAGUAUAGAUUAGAAAGAUUGAAUCAGCUUGCAACGAGUUAAAAAGAAAAGUCUUAGCUAUAACAGAAAAAAUUAGGAACAAUCUUAAAGGACAAGAACAACAAAUGGAAAACAAAACUCAGUAUUCACUAAAUAAGCAAGGAGAACAUCCUGCAAGCCAAACAUCAUUUUACAUCUCAAAUGAUGUCCCAGAUUUUCUACUGCUACUUUGAGUCAGGUUUCUUCCAGGGAUAUUUUAAAUCCCUCUCUUAUUUUUAGAGUAGCUUUCAGUUAAAAAGAACCACAGAAAUUUUGCUAUCAGAUCUCUUUCUACAUGUCUGUUAUCAUUAAUUAAAAUAUCAUUAAAUAUAAUUUCAACCCUCCAAUGAUUCUUUCUCUUGUUUUGACAGACUUGUUUGCUAUCUACAGUUAUCUGUAAUAGACAUUUUGUGAUCAGGCAUAAGGGGAGAAUUUUCCCCCGCAUGAGAAAUCACAAAAAUCCUAUCAAAAGAAUCUCUGAUCAGCUGCUCUCCAGCAUUCAGUUCUUCCACCUAGGAAGUUCUUCUACCAUAGGCAGCAAAUAUGCCAUGAACAUGCUGCUUGGCAUAUCCUUUUCUAUCCACCACUUCAUAUGGUUACCAGCUCUGUUUUAGAGCUUUUUUUAAGCUUGAUUUAAUGCCCCUAAAAAAAUAUCAGAAUACUUUGAGAACAGAAUUUUUAAUUGGUCUUAUGAGCAAUGCUUACUGUGAAAACGUAUAAGGACUGACUCUAAAGAAUGCACAGGGAAAGAAACUGCAAUGGCACUUCUGUGAAAAGCAAUACUAUUCUAACACUCUGUAACAAGAUAAACAAAAAAUAUGACUAUGGAAGGAAUGGGAGAAAAAAGGGAAGGAAGAGGUGUUGCCCUGAUUCUUAAGUUUUUCUAAAGCCUUCUGAGUUUACAUUCUGUUAGAAAACUUUCCCACACAAUUUCUGUAAACAACAUAUUGUUUUACAUUCCUUCAUGGGGGUGGAAAAACUUGAUGUACUAGUGGUUUGUCCAAUGUCUUUGGAGAGGUGGCCCAUUCACUCUCCAAUCCACUGUCAGCUUUGGAAAAGUAUAAAAGUUGGAGUCAAAAAAUAAAUGCUCUCUUUUACCUUGCAAAAUAGCAAGUGGCUCGCGUUGUGCUUUCACAUGUCCUAUAGCGACAGAAGAGGGGUGUUAACUCUAUUGAAAAUGCACACAGAGGAUUCUGUAGGAAAAGUAAGAACAGAACUGAUGCUCGUUCUUAAUGUCCUGUUCUUUUGGGUGUAUACAUCUGGGAAUGAAGAAGGAUUUUUAAAAGGAGCUGAUUCAACAGUGGUUUUGUACUGUGAAUUGGAAUUAGCUACUCAGAAGUCCAGCUAAAAACUCUGGGUUGAGCAUUUAUUCAGAAGUCAAAUAUUGAAAAUAAUACAGGAAACAAGUUUCAACUGUAUUCACUGAAUGGCCUGAGAAACAUUUUGGACUUCUUACUAUCAAUAAAAAGGGAGGCAGCAAUCAUCUGCCACUGGUUGUGACAUUUAUGUGACUUAUUAAGCAGCAGAUGAUGGCAUGUCUGAGAUAACCUACGAUCAGUUGCUGAGCACUCAGUACUGCUCAGGUAUUUCACUCCAACAUGGCCAGGGCCAAAACUCAGUACCUUGCAGAAGUGCACCUCAGGAGGAAAGAGAAUACACUGACAUCACUGGGAAUAUGUUGGAAGGUUUGCUUAAUGCUCCCCCGUUCUCCCAACUAUGGCAGUCAGAAUGUAAUGAGGGUAAUCCUUACGUCUGCCCUGAAUAGUAGGAGACCAGGUCUCUAGGAGAGAUCUACUUUGGUCCUCGUUACAUUUUCUAUUUUAGGGACAAAGAAGGAUUGUGGCUGAAUUCUCAGUAUUUAUUUAAACAACUGAGUUUUAAAACUAUACUGUAUUCAGCUGCUUUCUUUUUUGGAAAUUAAGGUAUUUUACUACUUUAAUUCUUAAGAUCUGUAAUUUUAAUGUUCUGAAACUAAAGCAUGUGUUGUAGAAGUUCAAGGAUAACAACUUCUAAAGAAAUAAUUAUACAGUCAGACAAUUUAAACCAUGCUGUUAUACUGAAAACAAAAUUUAAACUUGAGAUACUUUAUUCAAACCUAUUCUUUGUGUAUAUGUAAAUAUAUUAAAUCACUUCCCUAGAAGUCAACCUUAAAAAAAAAAAAAAAAAAAAAAAAAGGAAGAGCUUCAAGUGUUCUGGCUUUAAUGCUAUAUUUAUUUUUUAAAAUAACAACCAAAUAAAAAUAUAUAAAGAUCCUUAAGAAAUUUUCCUAAUUUCUUUUUCUAGCAAGGCCAUGCUUGCCAGAGUUAUACCUUUGACAUUAAUGCUAUAACACUAAUUGAUGUAGACAGGGACAACAUUCCAUUACAAGUAUUUGAACUAACAUGGUCUAAUUAUUCAAGUAUGAAGAGCUAAAGAAGGAUUUGCUAUACAUUUAGGUAAUGCCUGCCUUUCAUUUAACCCUAAAUUAGAAAAGACAAAAUCAAAGUUGUAGGAAAAAAAUUGAUCCAAGUUACAACAGUUUGUUUUUUUUUUUUAAUGUAGGUUUUUUUCCCCUACUGAACUGUAUUUCCUGAUGGCAUGUGGCCUGAAGCCAGCCUGUUGACUGAAAAAGAUAUUAUCUUUUCCUCCCCAGUGAAAACAAAAGCACAGAAUUUAUUUUGACAGCAUUAUGUAUUCAGUCAAGUUUCAUUAAGCUUCCAGUAAAUCAAAUACCUAUUAUAUAAUUCACACAUCAACUCUUUCCAUCUGAAGAGACUCCGCAGGUGGAUCAAAGACCAGAUUCACUGCCUGAAUAUUAAGGCCACUUAAAUUUGUGCAGCAGCAGCUUUGUAACAGAACAAUACUGCACAACCACCUCUGUCUUCACUCCCACUCACACAGUUCAGACAAGGACAUAGACAGUGCCAAAUCCUGAUUAGACAAUCCAGAAAUCUGUUCCAAAUCCUCAUGUACCCAGGGAACAAGACAAAAGAGCUCAACUCACCCUUCCUUGACCAAGGAUUGCUGUUCUGCCCCUCGGUUCUCUCACGAAGAAUACUUGAAUGUUCAACAAACUUGCUGCGGGAUGAACUGACUACUCUGUAGGCCUGAAAGGGAAUUGUACCUGAAUUUACAGCUACAUCCCUACAAAUUUACCAAACAAAUGAGGGGAGAGGGAGAGAAGGAAUUUUAAGCAAGUGCUUCUGCCCAUCUUAAAAUGCAUAUAAAAUUUAUCCUAAGCAAGGUUAAAAAAAUUAACAAUCUGCUAUACUAAUAUAUUUAUGUAUUUCAUAUAUCUCCAUUGUUAGAAAGCAAAUACAAUAUACCAUGCAACUUUUGAAGUGCUGCAGUGUUUCAGGAAUUGAAACCAGUUUUUUAAAAUAUAAUUAUGUUAAGGCUUCUAAUUUUGCAAUGUGGUAAAAAAUGCAAUCACACAUGUUUGAUAUGUUGAACUAAUAACUACUACCAUUCAAGAGGAUUACUCUGUGGGACAGGGAAAUAUGUACCUCUCUGGGGUGUGCUAGGCACUAUCUCAGAUCUUGGGGGAGAGGGCUAGAAGUAAGCUAUGGAAUGGAGGAUUUAGGGAUGUGAAGCAUCAGAUCCAUUUAGAAGCAGGGAAGAGAAUGAUUACUGUAAAGCUUAACAAAAGCAGAUGCUUACAAAACUUCAACAUGCUUUCUUGAAGUAACUAAUGCUGAUAUCUUCUUUUUUUUUACCCAAAUUAACAAGGUUCGUAUGUUCCCCUUGCAGCUUCAGAUUGCUUAUUUCACAUGUGCCUUCCCCACUUUGAAAUAUUACUAAUGUUUCUGGUUGACAAGACAAGUCAAGGGGUUAGAGACAGGUGCCUUACUCAGUCUUUGCACACAUUAAUUUCAUAUAGUUUUAAAUAUGCUUUCCACUAAGAGUGACCCAGCACUACUUAUCAAAAUAACAGUAAAAUAGGCAAGCAAGCAAGCUAAAUUCUCUUAAGCUGAUUUCUAAGUUAGGCUGCACUUAGCUAUAUGCUACAUGCUACAAUAUCUACGUUCUUUAAUGGUUUGCAUUUUGACCAUACUGUUUAAGAAAGAACACACCUUAUACCAUGCUGGCUCAGAAAGCACAAACAGCUCCAUCCCCAAACACUUACAUAAAAUAAACCACCAAAAGCAGCAACACCAGCAAGGAGAUAGAUCAUCAUGCUGUCUCUAGAAGAGCCAGGAACACUCCCAGAUGACAUCUGGCGAGGAGGUGCUAUAAAAACCAUUAGGUAAAUUGAUGUAAAGUGCUGCUAAAAUAUGAUCCAAAAAAGAAUUAUGGAAUCCGAACUCUGUGUGAGAAAGGAUUAUUCAAAAAGGUUAUAAAACAAAUGUUGAUGUAUACUGAUGUAUCCUAAGACUGAGCAACACAGGGUGUGGUGCUCCAUGGCUGAGCUCUUCCUAAGAGGUUUUUCUGUGAACU